This is a long non-coding RNA of Tupaia belangeri chinensis (Chinese tree shrew), 461 nucleotides long. RefSeq lists it as uncharacterized. Lineage: Eukaryota; Metazoa; Chordata; Mammalia; Scandentia; Tupaiidae. The record is from RefSeq and is a predicted model, not a curated record. The transcript is spliced from 4 exons.
GCUGCAGCGGGGCAGAGCUGCAUGUCAGCAUGCUGAUUCAGUGGAAGCACACAGCUCUGCCAGGACGAAGCAGGCAGAAUGGAGGCUGCUGGUUCCAGGGUGAAGCUGGAGUCAGCUCCCAGAAGCAGAGCCAAGGUAAAGUUCCAUGGAUAAAAUUUAUGUGAGCAAGUGAUUCAUCACCUAAAGUUACGAAGCCCACAGGCCAUUACACUGAGUAUGCAGCACUGGCAGGGGCCAUAACUUUGGAGGCACGAAGCGCAGCAUGGGCUGAUGAAGUACUCCUUGGAGUCUGCCCAUCCAAACAUGGAAUAGAUCCAAAGCUGGAGGUGAUGACAUCUUGGUCUGAGGUCUCCCGGAGGCCCUCCCAUUUCCAUCACUCUCUACUGCAGUGACCCCUCCUGCCCUGCACACUUUGGUCUCCUGAAUGACCCAGACUCUAAAUUUACCUGCCCUAUUAUCCU